UUUCAUCGUCAACUUGCUCGACUGUCAUCGAGGGUUGACGAAGAUGCGGCUGACACGCUCUGUCGAUUUCGUCGUCUUCUUGGAGUGAAAUAAGCCGGCUAACGAGAAGUUGUAGAAUCAUGUGGCCAAUGCGGUUGGAGAUGACUCGUGAUGAGUGCAGAAAGUGUUUGCGAUACCUCGAAUUAGAUGCUUAUGGAAGUAUAGUUUCUGUUCUACGUGCCCAAGGCCCUUUUACCAGUGACAAACAGAAGUUGUUACAGGAAAUUGCUAAAAUGUUAAAUAUUUCCAAUGAGAGGCAUCGUGCUGAAGUACGAAGAGCUGUGAAUGAUGAAAAGCUAGCAACAAUUGCUGAACAACUUAAUGGUCCAAAUACUGGUACAGAUUGGACUAUUGAAGGUCGCCGGACUAUUCCUCUGUUGCCAAGAUUAAAAGGACGGUCGGUAUUCACAACACUAGCAAAUAGUUUAUCUCUUGCUACUGCAGUCGCAAAUGCAAAAAGUCCUGAUAGACAUGUUACUUCUGGACAGUUCGAAAACCUCACAGCUAUUGAAAUUGAAUCUCAACCUGAAGUAAAAACAGAGGAAAACUUAUCUGUUACUCUGAUAAAAAAAUCUGAUACAAAAUUAUGUAACCUUGAAAACGAACUCGAGAACAGCAAAACUUUACAGGAAAAUUCAAAUUCGAACGAAAAUGAGGUGUUAGAUAAUAAAGAUACGGACGAAAAAGUUACCGAAGCGCCCAAGUUGAAAAUUUUCAGAAAACGUAAAUCUCCUUCCCCGUUACCAGCACUGCCGAGUAAAGUUCUGGUGGUAUCAUCGGACUCAUUAGAGACGUUGAACCACGCUGUUACAGAUAAAACUACGUUCGAGAAUGAUGUUCAAGAGCCGCAGGCAACCACUCAUUAUCAAAAUGUUAAAUUAAUUCCAUUAACCGUCGAGAUCUCAGGUUCUAAGGAGAGCGAAACGUCGGGAAGCACAGUCGGUCGACCCUUAGUUCCAAUAAACAAACAUACUAGUACAAUAAUUCCCGCAAUGUGCACAAGCAACGCCAACAAGCCUAAGACGAUAGUAAGCUUCGCGCAGAAUAAACUUAGUACAAAUGUGACGCCGAUUACGUCAAAUGACGGUGCGUCAAACACGACGUUAAACAAGUUGCAGGUAGAAAAUGCAGACGCACGAUCUCAGGAUAACGCAAGUGAUAUGCAGAAAACUCAGAAAUCUGAGACAAGCUCAAGUCUGUCUUGCAUAAAGCGAGUGCCACCGGUCAUACACACCAAUACAAAUACAAAGCCCAUAAUGUCUAAAUCAGUUAUAUCGAGCAAUACACAUCGAAUUAUGGCUGUGCAUCCAGGCACUACAGUGUCGAGCGGCCCAGGGCCACCUCAAGUUAAGCAAGCUACUCCAUUAUUAACUUAUAAAAAGUGGUCAUCUGAACAAAAUGCGACUUUCAGUCCGCAGUCUACUGCCAAAAUGAGUGUCACGAUAAAUUCUACAAAAGCUGUAAAUAUACCUCAUCAUUCUAACACUAAAUUAACUGCUAAAACUAAUGUGAUCGUUAUCCAGAAGGGUCAUGCAAAGGGUGUAACAUUAUCGCAUGCAGGCAAGGAGGUAUUAGGAAAAGUAAUAAUGGGAGGGAAAAAUCUAUGUGUUGCAAGCCAACAUAAUGCAAGCUCGGUUAGUGUUUCACCACAUCACGUCUCUGUGAACGGAGAUCAAACAACGACCACGCUACCGAUCGCACACCCACCGAAUGCAGAAUCCGUGAAAACGAAUAUAAAGUCUGGAAACACGAUUGUGUUCAAUCUGCGGAAGGACGUCUUCGAGAAGAAAAAGAUUCUCUCACAAUGCCUCGACUCGUCCGGCGUUCUUAAUACGGAACCUAAGACUGUGAUACAAAGCAGAUAUACGCGCCUUCUAACGGAAGAAUCCAAUAGUGACGCAAAUGCGAUCGACAGGGAAUCGUCUCCUAAGACGGACUCUAUCAUCAUUUCUACGACGGAGAGAAAACAGUAUAGGAUGAAGAUGUUAACGUAAGCGUGAAUUCUGAAGUAAUAAAUUCGCUAGAUACCGCGGAAGUGCCGCAAGUUGAGGAAAUACUUGUCAAAUCGACACAACUUGUCAAUAAACAAGAUGAUGCUGAAAACGAUAGUCGGACACAAAAAUCCAGUAAGGACAUGGACAUGUUCGAUGCGAUGUUAGAAUCGACGAGUGCGAAUUUGGAGAGUUUCCAACACCUGGAGACGGAAACCAUAAACCACGUGGACGAGCACGACGACUCGUAACGACUAAGAGGUGUCGACGUUACGUACGUCGUAAAUCGUCGUCGUACGGCGACAAGGCUGAUACUUUCGUCUCGAAAGCGUACUGAUACAUCUAUUUUACGUAAAUAUAAAUAUAAAUGCGUACGUUUCUAUUUAUAUAUGUUUAUUUUAACGAAGUUUACACACAUACACACACGCCUACGUUUGCUCCUUGGAACACUCGAUAAUUUCAAAAGAAAUCGAAAUGACUUCGCGAUCCUGAUGUCUCAGUUAUUAUUUCCUAGCGUAGCACGAACGAGGCGAUUUGAUCAUUUGUAAAAAUGAGGUUUCGACACCAAAAUUCAAUCAUACUGAUUGACGCUAGUACUAUGUAAGUGCCAAAUCGUGAUCUGCCGUUCUUAUAUAAAUUAUAUUCUCGUGAAAAGAGGAAUAACCAUGACACGCACGGCGCGCAUUCACUCAUUAAUUUUUUUUUUUUCGUGAUAUCAACUCGCCACGCAAAUUACUGAUCGUUCCUAAGUCAACCUUUUUGAUUCUACUUUAUCGUGACUUUCCUUCCUAUUAGUUUAAAAGAGAACUGCGAGUUGGAAUUAUAUCGAGAUGCAUUUAGUGCUAAAUAUAUGACACUGUCCCAUUGCCAAUUUACAUUUUGAAUGUUUCUCGUAUAUUUCGCGGACAAAUAGCAGGCAGCUUCUAUUCAGCAUUUCGCGUAGCUUUCCGAUUCCGAGAUUUGUCUUUUAAUUACAUAUCAAAUCAGGAGUCUCACAGCUACGUGUAACGUUAUAGAACGCGACGCGAGCAAAGAUAUUUCAUACGUUGCACAGCGAGAGAAGAAAUAACCGGACGUGUCUUACGCACAUUCAAAAAUUGUUUCGUAUUUUACCCAUGAAUAACGUAACAUUUGAAGAUGUGUAAGACUAAACGUUUCUGUAAAUGUGAUAUUAUGGUGUUAAGUACUAGAAUUUUGGUUCUAUGAAUCUGUCACUUGCUCAUACUUAUUAACUGUCGUAGCGGCAUUGUAAAUACUUUGUAAAUACACUGAAGAACUUGGGCUACUGUGAGAAUGUACGUUUUAGAGUGGAUGUAGGUGAAUCUGCAUAGAUGCAUGUGAUCAUAUGUGAUCAUGUAAAUCAUGUAUAUGUGUAUAUGUAUAUACACACCAUAGAUACACAUAUACAUAUAUACAUAUAUAUUGCAAUACCUUCCCACUCUAUCGCCAUUAAUGAAGUGUAAGUGUCAAUAGAGACUCGACGAUAGUUUUAGUUAUUUUAUCGUUGUAGGUACUGUGCGCGUUUCUUGCUCUCUUUUUAAAUAAAACUUGCUCGUAUAGAGCGAGAGCCAGCAAUCUGUUCUUCAUUAAAGAGCAUAAUUAGAUUUAACAGGAAAAGAAUAUAUUUUUUCAUAAGCGAGAAGUGACACUGCCCUUCGAUUCGCAAUAUUGCGGUGCUCUGUUACUCAGAUUUUUUACUGUAAUCGUGUGUCUACAGGAUUUUCGCCUAAAUCGCUGUAAUUUGUAUGCAGCUAUUACGUGCGAUCGUGGUUUUCACCUCAAUAAAUCAGCUGGAUCAUUGAUCAUCUGUUAAACCGAAUAUAUUAAAUAUAUUGUAUCGAUCGUCUUGAAUAUACCAUACCUUCCAUCUGUGAAA
RNAcentral lists this unclassified non-coding RNA (3906 nucleotides) under Harpegnathos saltator (Jerdon's jumping ant). RNAcentral describes it as "bRCA2-interacting transcriptional repressor EMSY, transcript variant X1". The record is from RNAcentral. Lineage: Eukaryota; Metazoa; Arthropoda; Insecta; Hymenoptera; Formicidae.